CCUACGGGGGGGCAGCAGUAGGGAAUCUUCCACAAUGGACGAAAGUCUGAUGGAGCAACGCCGCGUGAGUGAAGAAGGGUUUCGGCUCGUAAAACUCUGUUGUUAAAGAAGAACAUAUCUGAGAGUAACUGUUCAGGUAUUGACGGUAUUUAACCAGAAAGCCACGGCUAACUACGUGCCAGCAGCCGCGGUAAUACGUAGGUGGCAAGCGUUGUCCGGAUUUAUUGGGCGUAAAGCGAGCGCAGGCGGUUUUUUAAGUCUGAUGUGAAAGCCUUCGGCUCAACCGAAGAAGUGCAUCGGAAACUGGGAAACUUGAGUGCAGAAGAGGACAGUGGAACUCCAUGUGUAGCGGUGAAAUGCGUAGAUAUAUGGAAGAACACCAGUGGCGAAGGCGGCUGUCUGGUCUGUAACUGACGCUGAGGCUCGAAAGUAUGGGUAGCAAACAGGAUUAGAUACCCUGGUAGUCCAUACCGUAAACGAUGAAUGCUAAGUGUUGGAGGGUUUCCGCCCUUCAGUGCUGCAGCUAACGCAUUAAGCAUUCCGCCUGGGGAGUACGGCCGCAAGGUUGAAACUCAAAGGGAAUUUGACGG
Molecule: ribosomal RNA, 590 nt
Filed under: bacterium CYS3A
Lineage: Bacteria
Description: bacterial SSU rRNA
Rfam family: Bacterial small subunit ribosomal RNA
Source: RNAcentral